RNAcentral lists this unclassified non-coding RNA (192 nucleotides) under uncultured Glomeraceae. RNAcentral's name for it is "sequence contains ITS2". The record is from RNAcentral. Lineage: Eukaryota; Fungi; Glomeromycota; Glomeromycetes; Glomerales; Glomeraceae.
CAAAUAAACAUCGGGGUUGUUGCUGCCUUUCGCGGUGACGCUUCGGAAUUGGGUCGCCUUUGCCUUCCUUUCGGUUAAGUGACCUAAAAUUUCGCGUGAUUUUUCGAACGUAUUUGAAUUUUUUACGUACGUUUGUGAUAUCGAAUACUAGAUGCGGUCAUUCCCAUGAUUCGCGUCUAUAAUUAUUUCAUC